Molecule: transfer RNA, 70 nt
Filed under: Loxodonta africana (African savanna elephant)
Lineage: Eukaryota; Metazoa; Chordata; Mammalia; Proboscidea; Elephantidae
Rfam family: tRNA
About the family: Transfer RNA (tRNA) molecules are approximately 80 nucleotides in length.
Source: Rfam by way of RNAcentral
GCAGUGGUGGUUCAGUGGUAGAAUUCUUUCCUUCCAUGGGAGAGACUGGGUUCAAUUCCUAGCGAGUGCA